RNAcentral lists this unclassified non-coding RNA (269 nucleotides) under Pestalotiopsis anacardiacearum. RNAcentral's name for it is "partial internal transcribed spacer region". The stretch from base 1 to 46 matches the Rfam family "Eukaryotic small subunit ribosomal RNA", at positions 1786 to 1831 of the family's 1831-position model. The record is from RNAcentral. Lineage: Eukaryota; Fungi; Ascomycota; Sordariomycetes; Amphisphaeriales; Sporocadaceae.
AAGUCGUAACAAGGUCUCCGUUGGUGAACCAGCGGAGGGAUCAUUAUAGAGUUUUCUAAACUCCCAACCCAUGUGAACUUACCAAUCGUUGCCUCGGCAGAGGCUACCCGGUACCUUACCUUGGUGCGGCCUACCCUGUAGCGCCUUACCCUGGAACGGGCUACCCUGUAGCGGCUGCCGGCGGACUACCAAACUCUUGUUAUUUUAUGGUUAUCUGAGCGUCUUAUUUUAAUAAGUCAAAACUUUCAACAACGGAUCUCUUGGUUCUG